CGGGUGAGUAACGCGUGAGGAACCUGCCUCAAAGAGGGGGGAAACAGUUGGAAACGACUGCUAAUACCGCAUAAGCCCACGGCUCGGCAUCGAGCAGAGGGAAAAGGAGCAAUCCGCUUUGAGAUGGCCUCGCGUCCGAUUAGCUAGUUGGUGAGGUAACGGCCCACCAAGGCGACGAUCGGUAGCCGGACUGAGAGGUUGAACGGCCACAUUGGGACUGAGACACGGCCCAG
RNAcentral lists this ribosomal RNA (233 nucleotides) under uncultured bacterium. RNAcentral describes it as "partial 16S ribosomal RNA". It matches the Rfam family "Bacterial small subunit ribosomal RNA", at positions 103 to 334 of the family's 1533-position model. The record is from RNAcentral.